RNA transcript from Ipomoea nil (Japanese morning glory), 1266 nucleotides. It is a transcript of the gene named peptide deformylase 1B, chloroplastic, with no coding region annotated. The transcript is spliced from 6 exons. NCBI's taxonomy places the organism in Eukaryota, Viridiplantae, Streptophyta, Magnoliopsida, Solanales, Convolvulaceae. The record is from RefSeq and is a predicted model, not a curated record.
ACGUUAUAUUCUUUAUGAUUUUGUUUUUGGUACACCGUUAAGUUACAAGAUUAUUGCUCCGUUUCCCUCUUUCAUGUGGCGAUGGCGGGUGCGACUAUGCUCCACUCAUCGUUUCAAUCUCUUCUUCCCUCGCUGGCUCGUCGGUAUUCUCUGCUCUUCGAUAGCUGUUUCCAUUCCCGCCGGCUCAUGUCAACUGGCCGUCCCUUCCAUUCCAUAAGCCGUAAUAAACCUUCACCGCUCGCCGUUCGAGCGCAGGCUAGGCGAAGCUUAUCUUCGAAUAAAGUCAUCAAGGAUGAACUUGCAUCUCUGGCCGAUUUGUGUUUUGAGGGGCCUCUGAAAAUUGUAGAAUAUCCGGAUCCUAUACUUAGAGCAAAGAACAAAAGAAUUGGAACGUUUGAUGAUAAUUUGAAGAAGCUAGUAGAUGAAAUGUUCGAUGUAAUGUAUAGAACUGAUGGCAUUGGGCUGUCAGCACCGCAGGUUGGAAUUAAUGUUCAGCUUAUGGUAUUUAAUCCGGUUGGUGAGCGGGGUGAAGGAGAGGAAAUUGUUCUUGUAAAUCCACGGGUCACCAGAUAUUCCAGAAAGGUGCUGCCAUAUAAUGAAGGUUGCUUAUCUUUUCCUGGGAUUUAUGCUGAUGUAGAGACUGGGUUGUCCAUAUUUUCAAUUCCAGAGACCAGAUUCUGUGAACGUAGAUGCACAGGAUAUAAAUGGGGCAAGGUUUACAGUUGGAUUGACAAGGCUUCCUGCACGGGUCUUCCAGCAUGAAUAUGAUCAUUUGCAGGGAAUUCUUUUCUUUGACCGAAUGUCUGAUGAAGUCCUAGACACUGUGCGGGAAAAUUUAGAGGCUUUGGAAAAGAAAUAUGAGGACAGCACUGGGCUGCCAAGCCCUGAAAGGAUAAAUACCCGGAUAAAUACCCGCAAAAGAAGGCAGGCUGGUGUUGGAUUUGGAAAAUCAUGAAGAACACUGGAAAUUGUGAGUUGCUGCAGUUUUGGAAUAUUAGAGAAUUUUCUUGUCUAGAAUCCCUAGGUUUUUUAUUGUACCAACAUGUGAAACUUUUACUUUUUAUAUAUCAAGUUAACAUUAUUGGGUGAAGUACAAGUUUUAAUACAAGUGUUCGUGCACUUUGUGAGCUAUUGGUUCAUUAUACCCUUAUUAAUUUUUGUUGCUCUAUGAUGUUUUUUUUUUCUUUUUUGAGUCAUUGAUACUCUGAUUGGAAAUAUUUUGUCUGAUGUAUUGCUGUAAUAAUAAUAAUAAUUACCUUAUUGUGA